GUUUUAACAAUUAAUCGCCGAUCAAUAAAGGUUUCCUUUUGGUUUUUUUUUGUGUUUUGUUUUACAUUUUGUUUUUUUUUUUUUUAUUUACUUGGUUGUAUUUUAUUUUAUUGAUUUUUGUAUAAAGAACUAAAUUCGCAGCAUACUAUUUUACUUAAAAAGCAGACAAAGUCGUAGAAUACAAAGUCGUAGUGAUACAAAAUAAAAUUUGUUAAAAUAUCAUGAAUGGCAAUGAUAAAAGACAUUCUCUAAUAACGGACAAACAAAAGAAUAUGGAGUUUAAAUUAAACUUUAAAAAUGUUUGCACUUCAAAAAAUUCAGCAAUGAAUAAAUACAUCUUAAAUGGUCAUCAAUGCUUAUAGGAAUAGGUAAGAAAAUUAGUUUUGGUAGAUUUUAUUAGUUUGUUUCAAUUUGCACAAACACGAACAAAUCAUAAUAAUGGAAAAGUCUUUGCAAAAAGUUCCAUAUACGGCAAUCUUCCGGUGAUAUCAUCGCAUAAAUAUGAUAUCAUCGUAUAAAGCGAAUCAUCAUUGUAUAAUGAAAUGAAUGUCUGCCUCAAGAAAUAAAUGUAUUUAGUAAACUACUUUGGAUUAUAUUGAGAUGAGCCACACUUUAAAAGUUAAGUGAAGAUUUGUUUGACGAAUAGAAAAGAAGAAUAAAGGCGAAUUCAUACUAUAAUUCCCAUUUUCAAGUAGGAAAUAUUCUAUAAGGUGUUUUUUGGAGGUUUAGAAAUUUGGCAAAUCACCACACAAAGACUUACACCAGAACAAAGUUUAAGCAGAGAUCACAGGAUUGGUCAAAUGUACCGAUUUUUGUUCAUUUGUAUGUACAGAUCGUUUGAAUGGCAAAAAAUAUUGGGCAGAAUGCAGAUAGAACAUUUUUUUUGGCAGAAAAGCAGAUAAAAAUGAGUUGUUUUGUAUCAAUCGUGUGAACUUUUCAUACACCGAUGAAGACAGAAAAAAUUCUUAAAUGUGCAGAUAAUUUUUUCUGCCACUUAAUGACCGAUCAUAGUGACCAAAGCAGAUAAGUGCAUUUAAUUUUGUGUUGUUUUCGAAAAUUAAGAUUUUUUAAUAAUUAUUUCAUAAUGUAUUAUUAGGUCUUAUAUAUUUUUGAAAUUUGGCAGCACUGAUUUGAUAAAAAACACACACCACUGCUUCUUGCAUCUGCGUUAUUCAUAUAACUUUUGAAUAAUGGACACAGAUAAACAAGAAGUUAGGCGACCACACAAAGGAACAACACCAACGCCAGAAAAAUAUAAGCGAAAGCGACUUCAUGUGACAACGGCAUGGUCUACAGAAGACGUCAUUAAUUUAUUAACAAUAAUUGAAAGCAAUUCAUGCCUUUGGGAAUACUCUUCUGCAGAUAACAAGAACCGCUAAAAGAGAAAAUGCAUGGCGAGAUGUUGCUACUAAAUGCCCUGACCAUGACGUAGAUAAAUGUAAAGCGGAAUGGGCAAAUGUGAAAACAGCCUACAAAACAAAACAAAAUUAAAGACAAAAUCGGGUCAAGGUGCAUCGACCACGGAACCUCAUUGGCCUUUCUGGACUGUCAUGCAGUUUUAUCACAAUCAUGACAG
Molecule: long non-coding RNA, 1576 nt
Organism: Eupeodes corollae
Lineage: Eukaryota; Metazoa; Arthropoda; Insecta; Diptera; Syrphidae
Exons: 2
Source: RefSeq, a predicted model, not a curated record